RNAcentral lists this ribosomal RNA (194 nucleotides) under Salmonella enterica subsp. enterica. RNAcentral describes it as "partial 23S ribosomal RNA". It matches the Rfam family "Bacterial large subunit ribosomal RNA", at positions 1 to 186 of the family's 2925-position model. Lineage: Bacteria; Pseudomonadati; Pseudomonadota; Gammaproteobacteria; Enterobacterales; Enterobacteriaceae. The record is from RNAcentral. RNAcentral also lists the same sequence under 1 other name.
GGGUUGUGAGGUUAAGCGACUAAGCGUACACGGUGGAUGCCCUGGCAGUCAGAGGCGAUGAAGGGCGUGCUAAUCUGCGAUAAGCGCCGGUAAGGUGAUAUGAACCGUUAUAACCGGCGAUACCCGAAUGGGGAAACCCAGUGUGAUUCGUCACACUAUCAUUAACUGAAUCCAUAGGUUAAUGAGGCGAACCG